GCCUUCGUAGUGUAGUGGUCAGCACGCUCGACGCGCAACCGAGAGGUCCGUGGUUCGAUUCCCGGCGAAGGCG
This 73-nucleotide transfer RNA is filed under the name Stegodyphus mimosarum. It matches the Rfam family "tRNA". From Rfam's summary of the family: Transfer RNA (tRNA) molecules are approximately 80 nucleotides in length. Their secondary structure includes four short double-helical elements and three loops (D, anti-codon, and T loops). Lineage: Eukaryota; Metazoa; Arthropoda; Arachnida; Araneae; Eresidae. The record is from Rfam by way of RNAcentral.